This 249-nucleotide long non-coding RNA is filed under the name Dromaius novaehollandiae (emu). RNAcentral's name for it is "lncRNA (ENSDNVG00000014820.1)". The record is from RNAcentral. Lineage: Eukaryota; Metazoa; Chordata; Aves; Casuariiformes; Dromaiidae.
ACUUCAGGAAAGGGGGAAUUGUCUGUGAACCAGAGCUUUUUUGCAUUCUCUGAAGUAGUGCUCUGCUGAAGAGUUACCACUCGCCAAACAGAUGAAGGAAAUGAAAAUUUCUAUCACUCACUGAAUGCACGCCUUACAAAACAAGACAUCUUGAAGGGCUUUAGUGUCAUCCAUAGGGAGCAGAAGAGUUCCUGAAAUGGAAGUGACACGAAAAAUAAAGCAUUAUGAGCAACAAAUAUGGUAAGUGCU